AUUAAUUCUUUAAAAUUAUCAAAUUAUACAUAACAUAAUUUGCCAUUUUUUCCAUUUUUUUCCAGACAGAAGUAACUUCUAAAACAUUGCUAGGGAAACGCUCUGACAUCUUCCGUAGAGGUGAAAAAGCACAGGUCUGACUCAGGUAGCUGCGAGUUCAAGUUCAGCCGCAGGCUCUUCCCCAAGGUGCUGGUCUUCGCAGGAACCCCUUGCAGGCAGCUGCAAAGAGCAGCACGGCGCGCACACACAGGGUCCGGCUGGCGUCUGGCCAGAGCAAGGGAACAGUAAGUGUGUCCUGGAGGCGCUCGCCAUGCACUCACACGCCAUCUGUGGAUUCGGAAGUGACCUCCCCCUCGGUUGAUGAGGGUUCUCUGCGUCUGGAGAACACAGGACGUCCACAGGAAAGUUCUCCCUCCUGCACUCCCGGCUGGCUCUGAAAAUUAUGAACUCUCUUUUCCUUAAAAUAAAGGCUCUAAAAUUGUGUGAUUCCACCUCCCUGAGGCUAAGCGAAAGAGCCGCGUCUGCCCCUGUCCUUCCCGGGGGCUGGCAGGGAGUGGGUGCCCGGCGGUGACUCAGCCCUGCAGCCUCCCAGCCCUUCCCCGUAUGCGGGCAGGUGAUGCGGACGCCUCCGACCCUCGUGGGGUUUGUGGAGAGCGUUGAUCAGCGCUGCCGUCAGAACAGGACCUGUGCGAGGCCUCGCAGAUGCCGGGAGCCGGGCGGUGCUCUCGGUGCUUCUCAUCAAAUCCACUGGCUCUUCGAGAGGAAGCACAUGUCACAGCCCAGCUCAAACAAGAAGCAAGAAAAUCACUCUUCAUUUUGGAAUUGUAAAAUAAAG
This 835-nucleotide long non-coding RNA is filed under the name Homo sapiens (human). RNAcentral describes it as "non-protein coding lnc-EGFL7-1:3". The record is from RNAcentral. Lineage: Eukaryota; Metazoa; Chordata; Mammalia; Primates; Hominidae.